RNAcentral lists this ribosomal RNA (512 nucleotides) under uncultured bacterium. RNAcentral describes it as "partial 16S ribosomal RNA". It matches the Rfam family "Bacterial small subunit ribosomal RNA", at positions 28 to 507 of the family's 1533-position model. The record is from RNAcentral.
GAUGAACGCUGGCGGCGUGCCUAAUACAUGCAAGUCGAACGAAACUUCUUUAUCACCGAGUGCUUGCACUCACCGACAAAGAGUUGAGUGGCGAACGGGUGAGUAACACGUGGGCAACCUGCCCAAAAGAGGGGGAUAACACUUGGAAACAGGUGCUAAUACCGCAUAACCAUAGUUACCGCAUGGUAACUAUGUAAAAGGUGGCUAUACUACCGCUUUUGGAUGGGCCCGCGGCGCAUUAGCUAGUUGGUAGGGUAAAGGCUUACCAAGGCAAUGAUGCGUAGCCGAAAUGAGAGGUUGAGCGGCCACAUUGGGACUGAGACACGGCCCAAACUCCUACGGGAGGCAGCAGUAGGGAAUCUUCCACAAUGGGCGAAAGCCUGAUGGAGCAACGCCGCGUGGGCGAAGAAGGUCUUCGGAUCGUAAAACCCUGUUGUUAGAGAAGAAAGUGCGUGAGAGUAACUGUUCACGUUUCGACGGUAUCUAAACAGAAAGCCACUGCUAACUACGUG